RNAcentral lists this ribosomal RNA (253 nucleotides) under uncultured bacterium. Its description in RNAcentral is "partial 16S ribosomal RNA". It matches the Rfam family "Bacterial small subunit ribosomal RNA", at positions 524 to 776 of the family's 1533-position model. The record is from RNAcentral.
CACGUAGGGCGCAAGCGUUGUCCGGAAUUAUUGGGCGUAAAGAGCUCGUAGGCGGUUUGUCGCGUCUGCUGUGAAAACUCGGGGCUUAACUCCGGGCCUGCAGUGGGUACGGGCAGACUAGAGUGCGGUAGGGGAGACUGGAAUUCCUGGUGUAGCGGUGAAAUGCGCAGAUAUCAGGAGGAACACCGGUGGCGAAGGCGGGUCUCUGGGCCGUAACUGACGCUGAGGAGCGAAAGCGUGGGGAGCAAACAGG